UACGUAGGGCGCAAGCGUUGUCCGGAAUUAUUGGGCGUAAAGAGCUCGUAGGCGGUCUGUUACGUCCGCUGUGAAAACCCAGGGCUUAACCCUGGGCUUGCAGUGGAUACGGGUAGACUAGAGGCAGGUAGGGGAGAAUGGAAUUCCCGGUGUAGCGGUGAAAUGCGCAGAUAUCGGGAGGAACACCGGUAGCGAAGGCGGUUCUCUGGGCCUGACCUGACGCUGAGGAGCGAAAGCGUGGGGAGCGAACAGG
Molecule: ribosomal RNA, 253 nt
Filed under: uncultured bacterium
Lineage: Bacteria
Description: partial 16S ribosomal RNA
Rfam family: Bacterial small subunit ribosomal RNA
Source: RNAcentral